This is a long non-coding RNA of Peromyscus eremicus (cactus mouse), 1339 nucleotides long. RefSeq lists it as uncharacterized. The transcript has 6 exons. NCBI's taxonomy places the organism in Eukaryota, Metazoa, Chordata, Mammalia, Rodentia, Cricetidae. The record is from RefSeq and is a predicted model, not a curated record.
AAAUAAAUAUUUCGCAGAGCCAUCAAAGCCAAAUAAACAAACUGUAAUUCUUGAACACCACAUCGGGUGUAGAGACUGCAAAAAGAUUGCUUUGGUUAAGAUACAAGACACAGUCACUCCCAAGAAAUUAAUAUCAGUUAAAGUAAGAAUUCUCGUGGAGUUGCUGCUACAGUUCUGUUAUUGACACAAAAAUGGUUCACCCACAUUGGCAAAUUUGGAUAACUUACAUAAGGAAAACAUAAGCUAAACUAAAAUGUUUUGGUUGGUAGAAAAUAGAAUGUUUGGAGGUGGUGUUUUGUUUUGUUUUGUUUUGUUUUUGUUUUGUUUUGUGGGAGUUUCACUUUAAAGGGACCUAGAAGAUUUUAUCUCCAUUUAGAAAAUAAUGCAUGGUAGGCCUGAAGCAGUAAUUUAUGCUGUGACAUAAUAUGUUUUUGACGCAGAAAAUACUUGUCAAAAUGCUAGAUACAAAGGCAGCUAUUUUGAGUGUUUUAAGGAGAAUGGGGAAUACCUGGCUCUUGUCAGUCAAUAACGUAUCUGGCAUAAAUAAUGAUUGAAAACUGACAGCUACACGAUGCGAUUUAGAAGCCUCAAGCUCCAACAAAUAAAAAGGUUGAAAUCUGUGGCAGAAUCAGUAUGGAUGGUUUCCUGUAUCCACAUAAUUGACCCCUGACCUCAAAGCAUCUCCAGAGCCAACAUUUUAAGAGGAUCAAGUACUGUAAGCCUGUGACUUCAUGCCAAGGAAAAUACAGACAGAGUCAUCCAUUAAAUACCAAAAACAAUGCCAAAUAGUUGCUUCUGGUGGCAAACCUUGGGAACUGGGAAGAUACCAUACUUUUCUAAGGAUCCAUUUUCUAAAGAUAGCACACAUACUGUGUCCACAGAAUAAUCUUCCCCACCUCAUUGCACUAAGAAGAAUGCAGGCAAUUCUCUCACAGCUAAUUCCAUGCAAAAAUCAACAUUUUGAGGUUACCAAAAUCCAGUCAGUUGGUGACAUGGAGUAAACUACUACAGAGAUGAGAUGAGCUAUGCGUGGAUUAUCUUGUGUCUCAGAGGAGAUUUUGAACUUGGACUUUUGAAUAAUGCUGGAACUGUCAAGGCUAGAAAGAUGUGAGCCCUCGAGGGACAGAAGUGAUGUAUGUUGGGUUGAAUGUGAAGAGUUCCCCCCCACCAAAAGUGCAUAGAAUUAAAUUAUUCCAUCAAUGAACUCAUACUGAAUGGACUCUAAUGAGACACGUGUCUCACAGACACAUAAAAUAAAUGGAACUGAAGAUUCAAGUGGGUGUGAAUGUCGCAGACCUCAGAGAACCAGCAAUGGCCCCUUCUUACGAGAAGUCCCCAA